This 204-nucleotide ribosomal RNA is filed under the name uncultured bacterium. Its description in RNAcentral is "partial 16S ribosomal RNA". It matches the Rfam family "Bacterial small subunit ribosomal RNA", at positions 524 to 726 of the family's 1533-position model. The record is from RNAcentral.
UACGGGGGGAGCAAGCGUUGUUCGGAUUUACUGGGCGUAAAGGGCGCGUAGGCGGUCGUGACAAGUCACUUGUGAAAUCUCCGGGCUUAACUCGGAACGGUCAAGUGAUACUGUCGGACUAGAGUACAGAAGGGGCAACUGGAAUUCUCGGUGUAGCGGUGAAAUGCGUAGAUAUCGAGAGGAACACCUGCGGCGAAGGCGGGU